Molecule: transfer RNA, 73 nt
Filed under: Euglenaformis proxima
Lineage: Eukaryota; Euglenozoa; Euglenophyceae; Euglenales; Euglenaceae
Description: tRNA-Val
Rfam family: tRNA
About the family: Transfer RNA (tRNA) molecules are approximately 80 nucleotides in length. Their secondary structure includes four short double-helical elements and three loops (D, anti-codon, and T loops).
Source: RNAcentral
GGGGAUAUAACUCAGUUGGUAGAGUAUCUGCCUUACAAGCAGACUGUCAACGGUUCGACUCCGUUUGUCCUCA